This 505-nucleotide ribosomal RNA is filed under the name uncultured bacterium. RNAcentral's name for it is "partial 16S ribosomal RNA". It matches the Rfam family "Bacterial small subunit ribosomal RNA", at positions 28 to 507 of the family's 1533-position model. The record is from RNAcentral.
GACGAACGCUGGCGGCGUGCCUAAUACAUGCAAGUAGAACGCACAGUUUAUACCGUAGCUUGCUACACCAUAGACUGUGAGUUGCGAACGGGUGAGUAACGCGUAGGUAACCUGCCUGGUAGCGGGGGAUAACUAUUUGAAACGAUAGCUAAUACCGCAUAAUAUUAAUUAUUGCAUGAUAAUUAAUUGAAAGGUGCAAUUGCACCACUACCAGAUGGACCUGCGUUGUAUUAGCUAGUAGGUGAGGUAACGGCUCACCUAGGCGACGAUACAUAGCCGACCUGAGAGGGUGAUCGGCCACACUGGGACUGAGACACGGCCCAGACUCCUACGGGAGGCAGCAGUAGGGAAUCUUCGGCAAUGGACGAAAGUCUGACCGAGCAACGCCGCGUGAGUGAAGAAGGUUUUCGGAUCGUAAAGCUCUGUUGUAAGAGAAGAACGGGUGUGAGAGUGGAAAGUUCACACUGUGACGGUAUCUUACCAGAAAGGGACGGCUAACUACGUG